Molecule: ribosomal RNA, 130 nt
Filed under: Alternaria alternata
Lineage: Eukaryota; Fungi; Ascomycota; Dothideomycetes; Pleosporales; Pleosporaceae
Description: 5.8S ribosomal RNA
Rfam family: 5.8S ribosomal RNA
About the family: 5.8S ribosomal RNA (5.8S rRNA) is a component of the large subunit of the eukaryotic ribosome. It is transcribed by RNA polymerase I as part of the 45S precursor that also contains 18S and 28S rRNA.
Source: RNAcentral
CAACUUUCAACAACGGAUCUCUUGGUUCUGGCAUCGAUGAAGAACGCAGCGAAAUGCGAUAAGUAGUGUGAAUUGCAGAAUUCAGUGAAUCAUCGAAUCUUUGAACGCACAUUGCGCCCUUUGGUAUUCC